RNAcentral lists this ribosomal RNA (430 nucleotides) under Brucella melitensis. RNAcentral describes it as "partial 16S ribosomal RNA". It matches the Rfam family "Bacterial small subunit ribosomal RNA", at positions 355 to 776 of the family's 1533-position model. Lineage: Bacteria; Pseudomonadati; Pseudomonadota; Alphaproteobacteria; Hyphomicrobiales; Brucellaceae. RNAcentral also lists the same sequence under 1 other name. The record is from RNAcentral.
UGGGGAAUAUUGGACAAUGGGCGCAAGCCUGAUCCAGCCAUGCCGCGUGUGUGAAGAAGGCCUUUUGGUUGUAAAGCACUUUAAGUGAGGAGGAGGCUACUUGGAUUAAUACUCUAGGAUAGUGGACGUUACUCGCAGAAUAAGCACCGGCUAACUCUGUGCCAGCAGCCGCGGUAAUACAGAGGGUGCGAGCGUUAAUCGGAUUUACUGGGCGUAAAGCGUGCGUAGGCGGCUUCUUAAGUCGGAUGUGAAAUCCCUGAGCUUAACUUAGGAAUUGCAUUCGAUACUGGGAAGCUAGAGUAUGGGAGAGGAUGGUAGAAUUCCAGGUGUAGCGGUGAAAUGCGUAGAGAUCUGGAGGAAUACCGAUGGCGAAGGCAGCCAUCUGGCCUAAUACUGACGCUGAGGUACGAAAGCAUGGGGAGCAAACAGG